UUCUCACUUUCAGGCACCCCAA
This 22-nucleotide non-coding RNA is filed under the name Arabidopsis thaliana (thale cress). The record is from RNAcentral. Lineage: Eukaryota; Viridiplantae; Streptophyta; Magnoliopsida; Brassicales; Brassicaceae.